AUUGAACGCUGGCGGCAUGCCUUACACAUGCAAGUCGAACGGCAGCACGGGUGCUUGCACCUGGUGGCGAGUGGCGAACGGGUGAGUAAUACAUCGGAACGUACCUUAUCGUGGGGGAUAACGCAGCGAAAGCUGUGCUAAUACCGCAUACGCCCUGAGGGGGAAAGCGGGGGAUCGAAAGACCUCGCGCGAUUAGAGCGGCCGAUGCCUGAUUAGCUUGUUGGUGGGGUAAAAGCCCACCAAGGCGACGAUCAGUAGCUGGUCUGAGAGGACGAUCAGCCACACUGGGACUGAGACACGGCCCAGACUCCUACGGGAGGCAGCAGUGGGGAAUUUUGGACAAUGGGGGAAACCCUGAUCCAGCAAUGCCGCGUGAGUGAAGAAGGCCUCGGUUGUAAGCUCUUUGUCAGGAGAACACCGGCUCUAACACAGUCCGGGAA
Molecule: ribosomal RNA, 440 nt
Filed under: uncultured bacterium
Lineage: Bacteria
Description: bacterial SSU rRNA
Rfam family: Bacterial small subunit ribosomal RNA
Source: RNAcentral